RNAcentral lists this ribosomal RNA (394 nucleotides) under uncultured bacterium. RNAcentral describes it as "bacterial SSU rRNA". It matches the Rfam family "Bacterial small subunit ribosomal RNA", at positions 29 to 415 of the family's 1533-position model. The record is from RNAcentral.
AAUGAACGCUGGCGGCGCGCCUAAUACAUGCAAGUCGAGCGAGAAGACGUAGCAAUACGUUUGUAAAGCGGCGAACGGGUGAGGAAUACAUGGGUAACCUACCCUAGAGUGGGGAAUAACUAGCCGAAAGGUUAGCUAAUACCGCGUACGCUCCUUGGACUUCGGUUCAGGGAGGAAAGCGAUGCCGAGGGUAUCGCGCUCUUGGAUGGGCUCAUGUCCUAUCAGCUUGNGGUGAGGUAACGGCUCACCAAGGCUUCGACGGGUAGCUGGUCUGAGAGGACGAUCAGCCACACUGGCACUGCGACACGGGCCAGACUCCUACGGGAGGCAGCAGUAAGGAUAUUGCGCAAUGGGCGAAAGCCUGACGCAGCGACGCCGCGUGGGGGAUGAAGGU